This is a long non-coding RNA of Ornithodoros turicata, 392 nucleotides long. RefSeq lists it as uncharacterized. The transcript is spliced from 3 exons. Lineage: Eukaryota; Metazoa; Arthropoda; Arachnida; Ixodida; Argasidae. The record is from RefSeq and is a predicted model, not a curated record.
UUCUGGACGACAAGGCUGGGAACGUAUCAUCAGAGAGCUAAAUAUGGUGGGCGCCACACCAGAACAAUGCAGAAAGAAGUGGCUGAACCUGCAGCAGACAUACAAGAAGCUGAAGGACCCACCCACUGGCGCCGGGAGUGAGGAUGGGGAGUUGUCAUGGCCCUAUUACUCAUUAUUAGACAGCAUCAUGAGUGGUCGGGCCAUUAUCACUCCACCAUGCCUAGUCUCCUCAGCUGGUGUGGCGAGUCCAGUGCCACAGGCUGCAGCAACUGAGUCGGAUUCAUCUAACAACACGAGCCCAGAGGCAAGUGAAGAAAGGAGGCCAGUGAAACGCAGGCGCUGUGUCUUUGAUAUGGAGGCAGGCCUCCUGGAGGAAAUGCAGAAGCAGACAG